Molecule: small RNA, 78 nt
Filed under: Salix viminalis (osier)
Lineage: Eukaryota; Viridiplantae; Streptophyta; Magnoliopsida; Malpighiales; Salicaceae
Source: RNAcentral
UGACAAACAGUAUGUAAACGAGAGAAAGAGAGAGGAAUUUCAUUGGUCUAUUUCUUGACCUGAAUUUCAUUUGUCUCU